RNAcentral lists this ribosomal RNA (1556 nucleotides) under uncultured bacterium. RNAcentral's name for it is "bacterial SSU rRNA". It matches the Rfam family "Bacterial small subunit ribosomal RNA". The record is from RNAcentral.
AGAGUUUGAUCCUGGCUCAGGACGAACGCUGGCGGCGUGCCUAAUACAUGCAAGUCGAGCGAGCAGAACCAGCAGAUUUACUUCGGUAAUGACGCUGGGGACGCGAGCGGCGGAUGGGUGAGUAACACGUGGGGAACCUGCCCCAUAGUCUAGGAUACCACUUGGAAACAGGUGCUAAUACCGGAUAAUAAAGCAGAUCGCAUGAUCAGCUUAUAAAAGGCGGCGUAAGCUGUCGCUAUGGGAUGGCCCCGCGGUGCAUUAGCUUGAUGCUAACGUAACGGCUUACCAAGGCAAUGAUGCAUAGCCGAGUUGAGAGACUGAACGGCCACAUUGGGACUGAGACACGGCCCAAACUCCUACGGGAGGCAGCAGUAGGGAAUCUUCCACAAUGGACGCAAGUCUGAUGGAGCAACGCCGCGUGAGUGAAGAAGGUUUUCGGAUCGUAAAGCUCUGUUGUUGGUGAAGAAGGAUAGAGGUAGUAACUGGCCUUUAUUUGACGGUAAUCAACCAGAAAGUCACGGCUAACUACGUGCCAGCAGCCGCGGUAAUACGUAGGUGGCAAGCGUUGUCCGGAUUUAUUGGGCGUAAAGCGAGCGCAGGCGGAAGAAUAAGUCUGAUGUGAAAGCCCUCGGCUUAACCGAGGAAUUGCAUCGGAAACUGUUUUUCUUGAGUGCAGAAGAGGAGAGUGGAACUCCAUGUGUAGCGGUGGAAUGCGUAGAUAUAUGGAAGAACACCAGUGGCGAAGGCGGCUCUCUGGUCUGCAACUGACGCUGAGGCUCGAAAGCAUGGGUAGCGAACAGGAUUAGAUACCCUGGUAGUCCAUGCCGUAAACGAUGAGUGCUAAGUGUUGGGAGGUUUCCGCCUCUCAGUGCUGCAGCUAACGCAUUAAGCACUCCGCCUGGGGAGUACGACCGCAAGGUUGAAACUCAAAGGAAUUGACGGGGGCCCGCACAAGCGGUGGAGCAUGUGGUUUAAUUCGAAGCAACGCGAAGAACCUUACCAGGUCUUGACAACUAGUGCCAUCCUAAGAGAUUACCAGUUCCCUUCCGGCACGCUAAGACACGUGGUGCAUGGCAGUCGUCAGCUCGUGUCGUGAGAUGUUGGGUUAAGUCCCGCAACGAGCGCAACCCCUAUUAUUAGUUGCCAGCAUUAAGUUGGGCACUCUAAUGAGACUGCCGGUGACAAACCGGAGGAAGGUGGGGAUGACGUCAAGUCAUCAUGCCCCUUAUGACCUGGGCUGCACACGUGCUACAAUGGGCAGUACAACGAGAAGCGAGCCUGCGAAGGCAAGCGAAUCUCUGAAAGCUGUUCUCAGUUCGGACUGCAGUCUGCAACUCGACUGCACCAAGCUGGAAUCGCUAGUAAUCGCGGAUCAGAUCGCCGCGGUGAAUACGUUCCCGGGCCUUGUACACACCGCCCGUCACACCAUGGAAGUCUGCAAUGCCCAAAGCCGGUGGCCUAACCUUCGGGAAGGAGCCGUCUAAGGCAGGGCUGAUGACUGCGGUGAUGUCGUAACAAGGUAGCCGUAGGAGAACCUGCGGCUGGAUCACCUCCUU